Molecule: ribosomal RNA, 457 nt
Filed under: uncultured bacterium
Lineage: Bacteria
Description: bacterial SSU rRNA
Rfam family: Bacterial small subunit ribosomal RNA
Source: RNAcentral
GCACAAGCGGUGGAGCAUGUGGUUCAAUUCGAAGCAACGCGCAGAACCUUACCAGCCCUUGACAUGGCAGGACGGUUUCCAGAGAUGGAUUCCUUCCCUUCGGGGACCUGCACACAGGUGCUGCAUGGCUGUCGUCAGCUCGUGUCGUGAGAUGUUGGGUUAAGUCCCGCAACGAGCGCAACCCUCGCCCUUAGUUGCCAUCAUUCAGUUGGGCACUCUAGGGGGACUGCCGGUGAUAAGCCGAGAGGAAGGUGGGGAUGACGUCAAGUCCUCAUGGCCCUUACGGGCUGGGCUACACACGUGCUACAAUGGCGGUGACAGAGGGCUGCUACUCCGCAAGGAGAAGCCAAUCCCGAAAAGCCGUCUCAGUUCGGAUCGUCCUCUGCAACUCGAGGGCGUGAAGUUGGAAUCGCUAGUAAUCGCAGAUCAGCACGCCGCGGUGAAUACGUUCCCGGGC